Molecule: long non-coding RNA, 4738 nt
Organism: Daucus carota subsp. sativus
Lineage: Eukaryota; Viridiplantae; Streptophyta; Magnoliopsida; Apiales; Apiaceae
Exons: 5
Source: RefSeq, a predicted model, not a curated record
AUAUUUUAUUAAUGGUUUUUAUAAAAAGGAGGAAUAAAAUUUAAUAUUUUAUUCCAGUUUGGUAAAUUUCAAAAAAAAAAAAAAUAAUAAAUAAAAAUAAAUAUAUUUGUUUAAAUAUUUUCCUGGUCAACGGGGUUAUGGGAAAAUAUCUGUUGAUCGUGCAAUUAUCUGUUAAGAGAUUUAAUUGAUCUAUUUGUAUACGAUUAUGUCUAUGUGUGCAUUUAUUUCUGCUUUUGAUAUUAUUAUAUUAUUUUAUCAAAGAUUUAUUAUCCUCUUAAAUGGAUAUUUAUUUUUGUAAAAAUACAAAGAUAAUUUGAAUAAUUAUUUUAAUUGCUUAAUAGUGAUUAUAAAUAUUUUAGGAGUUUUUAAAAUAUUAAAAAUCUUAUUUCUUUAAGAACAUGAUUUUUAAUUAUUUUUAAAGCGCAACUAACUUCUAAAUUUUGUAUAAAUUUCGAAAAUGCUCUAUAAAUCCCGAAACUUUAAUUUUAUUAGUUUUGUAAUAUUAUUGGAUUUAUAAAAAAAUGUUUCGAUAAAUUUCGGGAGAAAUUUUAUUGCAAGUUAUCUCCGUAAAACAGUUAAAGAGGGUACGAAUCAAUUGAUUAGCCAGAUUGUUAAGGACAUGUGACAACAAAAGGUUUAGCCACGUGCCCCUGCUUUUCCACCGCCUUUCUUUUCUUUUCUUUUUCCUUCCUCAUUGUUUCUAAUACUCUGCAUAAAACUCUUGCUGCUAUGUCUCAUCUCUCACUCUCGCACGUAUCUCACCCAAAUCACUCUUGAUCUCACCCUCUCCGUUGGCUCUUUCUUCCUCCUGCCGUUGCUAUAGCCGCCGCCUAUUUCUCCGGCGACCAUCCAAACCCCUGCACCUCCUGUUACGAUUCAAUGGAAUUGAAGACAUUGACCGAGGCAUUAAUCGAGAAGUGAUUGAAAGGGGUAUUCAGAAAUAGCCAAGCAGAAUGUUACAAGUUGAAGUAGGACGGAGAUUUGUUAUAGAUAAAAGUGUGUCAGAAGCUGGCAGAAAGGAAUGAUUAUGCGGUAUAUAGUGUUACUAGGAAUCUGAGCUAAACUUUGGAGUUAAGCUAGGAAUAAAGAUGAUUCACUUAAGACUAGGCAAGGAUUGCAAGUGGUUGAGUUCAGGAAAAUUGUUAGGUAGGGUAUCCGGGACGAUGUGAUUAAGACUAGAUGCAGUUGGAGUUCUGCAAUUCAAUUCAGUUGGAAAUGAGAUUUGUUUAUUUGGUCAUCAGCUACUCUUCUUAUCGAUGUUUAGCUGAUAAUGCAGUUUAAUUUGUAAUUAAAUUUGAUAGUUUUAGUUUCUGAUUUCAAUGCUGUAACCUGUAUGCGAUCCUGUUUUCAGGGGGUGAAUUUGAGUUUUAAUUUAAAUCAUUUUUUUUAUAUAUUCAGGUUUUGAAAUACUUGUAUUUUUUUAAAUUGUUUUUCUUUCAGUGACUCAAAAAUACAGGUUUUAAAUUAUUUUUAUUUACACGUGGCACCAGAUCCAGACCCCCGGAUUUGAGGGCUGUCACAGUUGGUAUCAGAGCUGCAGGUUAUAAGUUAUUGAAAUCAGAAUAUAGGUGGUAAUAUUAGGUCUAAUAAAUAGGUGCACUAAGCGUAAACUCACAUAGAGGUAGUCUACAACUCUUUGGAAGAGUCUGUGUCAAUAGAACCAAGAUUCCAAUAGAGUACUGAUUUUGAGUAUAACAUAGUGUGUAUAAUAGUUCUCUUAGUUCUCUUGACCCAGAACUAGUAAGUUUAUAUAUCAGGGAAGGAAGAACAUGCCCCACUAGUUUCUAGUCUAUUGAGUAGUUAGUACCAAUAUCAGCAAACAAAUAGUUUCACCUGUUGAGACUAGAAAGUCAAUAAUUAUUUCAUAGUCCUCGUCACCAAGACAGAGAUAAAUUAGAAGAGUGACUUUAUGUGUUUUUAUUAUGGAUCAAAAUUUCUUAACACCAGUUUAAUUGAGUUAGAAACUCAUAGUAGGUGGAUAAGAUUUCUUUUGGUUGAUUUAGAUUCAAAACCAUUUGAAGGAUGAAAGAUACACCUAUUAGGUGAACUUUAUAAUGGGAACCAAUUGAGGUUGGACUAGUAUAGAUUCUCACAUAGUCUAGAGUAAUCUUUAUAGUGUCUGCCAAUCUUUGAAUAGUAUUUGGGGAGUUAUCUUUGAUUCUUGUUAAAGAUAUAUAGAAUUGGUGAAAGAAUAUAGGUCUUAACAGGUCCGAAUUUAAAGCUUUGUAUAUAGUGAAGUAGUGAGCAUUAGAGCUAAUACAAGAAUAUGAAACUUGUAGGGUCAAGUAAGAAGUUUCGUAUAUAGUUAAAUAAUGAACGUUAAAGUUAUUUAGAGCUCGUGUAGAUUAGUGGAUAUAGUACUUGUUAGUAAGUUAAGACGUCAACACUCAGUGGUGAUGAUUAUACGAAACUCGAUAAUAUUUCGGACUAUGCGAAGCUGAGCAGGACUUCUGACGAUCAUGGAUAUUUAUAAUGAGAUCUUCACAGACCAUUGUGAGUCAACGAUAAUUUACGUUAUUGAGCAUCAUCGACCGCUGAAAAAUAGAAGAAGAUUAGAAUCGAAUAAUGAUCCAUCAGAGCAGCAUAUCUUGAAGAAUCUUGGCAAUACCUUCCUCUUUGUUGAUUAUAUUGAUUACCUUCUUCAUCAAUGAAUUGUCUUAACAUCUUUUCCUAGAGACGUUUGAUAAAGACUAUAUUUCAAUCUCAUGAGUUAUAAAAUGAUACUUGUGUCUAUUUUAUCAUUUCUAACUAAUCUUUUCAUUGAAACUAGCACCUUUGGAACUUAUUCAAUUUUUAACCCAAGGUGCGCAUCAAAGAUUCAUUCAUCAAAAGUCAAUCAUUCUUAAUUGAUUUUGAAUAUCUAUUAUAUCAUUCUACUCUAACUGAGAUGAACAACCCUACCUAUAGGGGACACAAGGACUACCAGUCUGUGUGAUAGGAGUUGGAUGGGACGCCAUCACUUGUGUGUGUUGUACAUUACAAGAAGGUUAACUACCUUUAGUAGUGUCUUAAUUUAGACACGCAACACCAAGUUCUUUAGAUCAUAUUGAUCUCUCGGUUAUUCUUUUGUUUCCAAUCACGUUAUAUUUGUUCCAAUAGAUCUAAUCUUUCAUAUUCUUGUAAUCUUUAAUAGUUGAAGGUAUGCCAACUGAGUUGCCAAGUAAAAUUAAGCCUUUAUAGUAGGAGGUACCAUGAGCAAAAGCGAAUGAUGAUGCGAAUAUACGACAGCAAUCAAUAGGAUAUCACCUCAUAAAGAAGUAUUAUGGAUUAAAGAGAUCGUACGCUCUAGUUUUCUUUUCGCUGAUUCCGAGGACGGAAUCCUUUUAAGGGGGGUAGAUUGUGACAACCCGGAUUUUUCAAAAUAUUUUAUUAAUGGUUUUUAUAAAAAGGAGGAAUAAAAUUUAAUAUUUUAUUCCAGUUUGGUAAAUUUCAAAAAAAUAAAAAUAAAUAUAUUUGUUUAAAUAUUUUCCUGGUCAACGGGGUUAUGGGAAAAUAUCUGUUGAUCGUGCAAUUAUCUGUUAAGAGAUUUAAUUGAUCUAUUUGUAUACGAUUAUGUCUAUGUGUGCAUUUAUUUCUGCUUUUGAUAUUAUUAUAUUAUUUUAUCAAAGAUUUAUUAUCCUCUUAAAUGGAUAUUUAUUUUUGUAAAAAUACAAAGAUAAUUUGAAUAAUUAUUUUAAUUGCUUAAUAGUGAUUAUAAAUAUUUUAGGAGUUUUUAAAAUAUUAAAAAUCUUAUUUCUUUAAGAACAUGAUUUUUAAUUAUUUUUAAAGCGCAACUAACUUCUAAAUUUUGUAUAAAUUUCGAAAAUGCUCUAUAAAUCCCGAAACUUUAAUUUUAUUAGUUUUGUAAUAUUAUUGGAUUUAUAAAAAAAUGUUUCGAUAAAUUUCGGGAGAAAUUUUAUUGCAAGUUAUCUCCGUAAAACAGUUAAAGAGGGUACGAAUCAAUUGAUUAGCCAGAUUGUUAAGGACAUGUGACAACAAAAGGUUUAGCCACGUGCCCCUGCUUUUCCACCGCCUUUCUUUUCUUUUCUUUUUCCUUCCUCAUUGUUUCUAAUACUCUGCAUAAAACUCUUGCUGCUAUGUCUCAUCUCUCACUCUCGCACGUAUCUCACCCAAAUCACUCUUGAUCUCACCCUCUCCGUUGGCUCUUUCUUCCUCCUGCCGUUGCUAUAGCCGCCGCCUAUUUCUCCGGCGACCAUCCAAACCCCUGCACCUCCUGUUACGAUUCAAUGGAAUUGAAGACAUUGACCGAGGCAUUAAUCGAGAAGUGAUUGAAAGGGGUAUUCAGAAAUAGCCAAGCAGAAUGUUACAAGUUGAAGUAGGACGGAGAUUUGUUAUAGAUAAAAGUGUGUCAGAAGCUGGCAGAAAGGAAUGAUUAUGCGGUAUAUAGUGUUACUAGGAAUCUGAGCUAAACUUUGGAGUUAAGCUAGGAAUAAAGAUGAUUCACUUAAGACUAGGCAAGGAUUGCAAGUGGUUGAGUUCAGGAAAAUUGUUAGGUAGGGUAUCCGGGACGAUGUGAUUAAGACUAGAUGCAGUUGGAGUUCUGCAAUUCAAUUCAGUUGGAAAUGAGAUUUGUUUAUUUGGUCAUCAGCUACUCUUCUUAUCGAUGUUUAGCUGAUAAUGCAGUUUAAUUUGUAAUUAAAUUUGAUAGUUUUAGUUUCUGAUUUCAAUGCUGUAACCUGUAUGCGAUCCUGUUUUCAGGGGGUGAAUUUGAGUUUUAAUUUAAAUCAUUUUUUUUAUA